RNAcentral lists this ribosomal RNA (253 nucleotides) under uncultured bacterium. Its description in RNAcentral is "partial 16S ribosomal RNA". It matches the Rfam family "Bacterial small subunit ribosomal RNA", at positions 524 to 776 of the family's 1533-position model. The record is from RNAcentral.
UACGAAGGGUGCAAGCGUUAAUCGGAAUUACUGGGCGUAAAGCGUGCGUAGGCGGUUUGUUAAGUCUGUUGUGAAAGCCCCGGGCUCAACCUGGGAAUGGCAAUGGAUACUGGCAAGCUAGAGUGUGAUAGAGGAUGGUGGAAUUCCCGGUGUAGCGGUGAAAUGCGUAGAGAUCGGGAGGAACAUCAGUGGCGAAGGCGGCCAUCUGGAUCAACACUGACGCUGAGGCACGAAAGCGUGGGGAGCAAACAGG